Molecule: ribosomal RNA, 483 nt
Filed under: Hordeum murinum
Lineage: Eukaryota; Viridiplantae; Streptophyta; Magnoliopsida; Poales; Poaceae
Source: RNAcentral
UUUUUAAUAUAUUUUUUCUGCGCGCGGGGAACAUGGCGCACGUGCGCAUUAAAUAUUACACAUGGUUUCGAAAUUUUUGACGUUUCCGGUAAGUUUUAGCUUGCGGCUCAUUAUUCACGCGUCAACGGGCGGAUAAGGUGUUGGCAAAGGUACCGCGUUAUGGAAGGGGUGGAAACCGUGGUAAAACUCGUGUCGGUGCGGUAGAGAUGGGGUGGUUGAAACACUGGCAAACUAGUCUCCGUCGUUGAGCGGUAGAGUAAGUAGUGUAGUGGAAUAUCCGUUAUUAGGUAGCGGUGGCAACACUCGGGUUUAUAGUGAAUCUAGGAGGGACGAGCAUAAGGGACGAAGUUAGGGAAACAUGUUGGAUGCGAUCAUACCAGCACUAAAGCACCGGAUCCUAUCAAAACUCCGAAGUUAAGCGUGCUUGGGCGAGAGUAGUACUAGGAUAGGUGACCUCCUGGGAAGUCCUCGUGUUGCAUUCCC